GGAUGUAGAUUUGUCCAUAAAUGUGUUUUGAGGUGUGGACAACUUUAACUCGCGGAAAACAACCAAGGGCAUGGCAUUGUUUAACAAUAGAGAAAGUGGCAGUAAUAACUGCCUGACUCCCAACAAUAGCUGCAAGGGUUGCAAUAACAAAGACAGGCCAAAAUACAGGUUCAGGUAUUGAGUCAUAAAAACUCUUAUUAAUGGAGUUGAGGUUUUUAGAUAGAAAUGCAGCUUGACCCAUAUACUGUACCACCAAACAAGGGUAUAUAACAAAUGCAAACGCAAUCCUGAUAGAUAAGGCAGUGAAAUGACCAAGGUCAGCAAACAUAGCUUCAGUGCCAGUUAUUGAAAG
Molecule: unclassified non-coding RNA, 352 nt
Filed under: Hevea brasiliensis (rubber tree)
Lineage: Eukaryota; Viridiplantae; Streptophyta; Magnoliopsida; Malpighiales; Euphorbiaceae
Source: RNAcentral